RNAcentral lists this ribosomal RNA (840 nucleotides) under uncultured bacterium. Its description in RNAcentral is "bacterial SSU rRNA". It matches the Rfam family "Bacterial small subunit ribosomal RNA", at positions 671 to 1501 of the family's 1533-position model. The record is from RNAcentral.
AAAGAUAAAGUUUGCAUUUGUUUGAUCUUAAAAGGAAUCUAUAUGGCGAAGGGCUAUAUCUGGGUCUAAACUGACAUUGAGGCACGGAAGUGUGGGUAGCAAGCAGGAUUAGGGACCCUGUUAGUCCAUACCGUAAACGAUGAAUGUUCAAUGUUGGAAUACUUAUUUCAGCAUUUUAGUUAACACGGUAAACAUUCCGCCUGGGAAGUACGAUCGCAAGGUUGAAACUUAAAAGAUCUGACGGGGAUUUGUCCACACGGUGGAGCAUGUUGUUUAAUGCGAUGAUCCGCGCAAAACCUUACCAGUUCUUGACAUAUAUACAUAAUUAUUUAUGUAAUUGUAAAUAAAAAUAUACAGGGUUGCAUGGCUGUCGUCAGGUUAUAUCGUGAGACUUUAGGUUAAUUCCUAAAAUAAGCGAGACCCUUUUCUUUAAUUGCUAGGUUUUUAUUAUCUAAAAACAAAAAGUACUUUAAAGAUAUAGUUGAUGUUUUAUUAUUAAACGUCAGAUGAAAGAAAGGAUUACGCCAAGUCCUCAUGACCCUUAUGAACUGGGCUACAGAUGUGCUACAAUGGGGAUUACAAAAAGAAGCGAUAACGUAAGUUUGAGCAAAUCUAUAAAAUUCUCCGUAAUAUGGAUUGUUCUCUGCAACUCGGCUCCAUGAAGUCGGAAUCGCUAGUAAUCGUGGAUCAGAAUGCCACGGUGAAUACGUUCCCGGGCCUUGUACGCACCGCCCGUCACACCAUGGGAGUGGGCUGCACCAGAAGUAGAUAGCUUAACCUUCGGGAGGGCGUUUACCACGGUGUGGUUCAUGACUGGGGUGAAGUCGUAACAAGGUAACC